This 635-nucleotide ribosomal RNA is filed under the name Trichoderma asperellum. Its description in RNAcentral is "eukaryotic LSU rRNA". The stretch from base 239 to 392 matches the Rfam family "5.8S ribosomal RNA". The record is from RNAcentral. Lineage: Eukaryota; Fungi; Ascomycota; Sordariomycetes; Hypocreales; Hypocreaceae.
AGUUGUAAACUCGGUAAUGAUCCUUCCGUAAGGGGUACCUGCGGAGGGAUCAUUACCGAGUUUACAACUCCCAAACCCAAUGUGAACGUUACCAAACUGUUGCCUCGGCGGGGUCACGCCCCGGGUGCGUCGCAGCCCCGGAACCAGGCGCCCGCCGGAGGAACCAACCAAACUCUUUCUGUAGUCCCCUCGCGGACGUAUUUCUUACAGCUCUGAGCAAAAAUUCAAAAUGAAUCAAAACUUUCAACAACGGAUCUCUUGGUUCUGGCAUCGAUGAAGAACGCAGCGAAAUGCGAUAAGUAAUGUGAAUUGCAGAAUUCAGUGAAUCAUCGAAUCUUUGAACGCACAUUGCGCCCGCCAGUAUUCUGGCGGGCAUGCCUGUCCGAGCGUCAUUUCAACCCUCGAACCCCUCCGGGGGAUCGGCGUUGGGGAUCGGGACCCCUCACACGGGUGCCGGCCCCUAAAUACAGUGGCGGUCUCGCCGCAGCCUCUCCUGCGCAGUAGUUUGCACAACUCGCACCGGGAGCGCGGCGCGCCCACGUCCGUAAAACACCCAACUUUCUGAAAUGUUGACCUCGGAUCAGGAGGGAAUACACGCUGAACUUAAGCAUAUCAUAACCCGGAAGAAAAGUAUU